AGUGAACGCUGGCGGUGUGCCUAACACAUGCAAGUCGAACGGCUGGACAGUAAUAGCUUGCUCGUACGUGUGGUGAGUUGAGGAUAUGUGAGGAAGACAGCGGAAUGGGCGAGUAAGAGGUGGGUAACGUAGGGAAAAGUAGGCGAAAACAUCAUGAGACAUGCGGGAGUAAGGAGUAAAACUUACGACCUUGCGCGAGUUAGUUGACCGAUGUUGGAUUAGCUAGUUGGCGGGGGAAAGGCGCACCAAGGCGACGAUGCGUAGCUGAUGUGAGAGGAUGAUCAGCCACAAUGGAACUGAGACACGGUCCAGACUCCUACGGGAGGCAGCAGUGGGGAAUAUUCGACAAAGGGCGCAAGCCUGAUCCAGCCAUACCGCGUGUGUGAAGAAGGCUUUCGGCUUGUAAAGCCCUGUUAUUAGGGAAGAAAAGCAGUAGGUUUAUCUCUCGCUUUUCUGACGGUACCCAAAGAAUAAGCACCGGCUAAAUUCGUG
This 492-nucleotide ribosomal RNA is filed under the name uncultured bacterium. RNAcentral describes it as "partial 16S ribosomal RNA". It matches the Rfam family "Bacterial small subunit ribosomal RNA", at positions 29 to 507 of the family's 1533-position model. The record is from RNAcentral.